UACGGAGGGUGCAAGCGUUAUCCGGAUUUACUGGGUUUAAAGGGUGCGUAGGUGGGUCUGUAAGUCAGUGGUGAAAUCUCCGAGCUUAACUCGGAAACUGCCAUUGAUACUAUAGGUCUUGAAUUAUCUGGAGGUAAGCGGAAUAUGUCAUGGUAGCGGUGAAAUGCUUAGAUAUGACAUAGAACACCAAUUGCGAAGGCAGCUUACUACGGAUUGAUUGACACUGAGGCACGAAAAGCGUGGGGGAUCAAACAGG
This 256-nucleotide ribosomal RNA is filed under the name uncultured bacterium. RNAcentral describes it as "partial 16S ribosomal RNA". It matches the Rfam family "Bacterial small subunit ribosomal RNA", at positions 524 to 776 of the family's 1533-position model. The record is from RNAcentral.